Molecule: long non-coding RNA, 152 nt
Organism: Rhodamnia argentea
Lineage: Eukaryota; Viridiplantae; Streptophyta; Magnoliopsida; Myrtales; Myrtaceae
Exons: 3
Source: RefSeq, a predicted model, not a curated record
GAGAAUAAGGACAUUAUAAGCUCUGGGCAGAGGGAGGCUCGCGAUAGAAGCUCUCUCGAUCUUGACAGAAAAAUCGGAGAAAGGGGAGCAACGCAAAGCAGAAAAGAGAGGGGGUCUGGGUCGCAAAAGGAAAACGCCGAAACAAGAGACUC